UGGAUCUUCUGAACAAUUCAUAAUUUUGAACAGCUUCCACUGUUGGAAGAAAUGCUUUCUCAGUAUCUUCUCUAGUUUUCUCGACUUCUAAAACUUCCUUCGCAGUGUAAAAGACCAUAACUGGUUUGCCACCUACAACACUUGUUUUCAGUGGGUUAAGCUGAGAAUCAGGAGGUAUCCAUCUGGAAUUUCGGCCAUGCAACGAUU
This 207-nucleotide non-coding RNA is filed under the name uncultured Dinobryon. The record is from RNAcentral. Lineage: Eukaryota; Chrysophyceae; Chromulinales.